Paramuricea clavata is the source of this 967-nucleotide non-coding RNA. The record is from the annotation of a GenBank genome assembly. Lineage: Eukaryota; Metazoa; Cnidaria; Anthozoa; Malacalcyonacea; Plexauridae.
UGCGCGCCGGAGAUUUCGAAAAUUUAAUAGUAAAUAUAUAGAAAGCAUCAAAAUUGCGCGCCGGAGAUAUCCGCCGCGCGAUACAAACUUUCCACACUGGAAUAUGAGAUCUAUACAUCUUGGUAGCCAAGUUGGUUGAAGGAUAGCCCAAAGACAUUUCAGUUAAUGGUAUGGUGGACAUAUCUGAAGAUGUUGUCCCCAAACCCAUAAUUCCCACAAGAAUGACCAGAUCAUCUGGUACCAACAUUUUAUCCUUCCACCCACAGAAAGCAGGACUUUGUCUAGCACUUUCCAAAGCUUGUAUUUCUCAUGUGUAACAAACUGUCUUCCAGCAGACUUAAGAGAACCUAACACAUUCUUAAAGUACAAAUACAUUUAAGAGAUUGUUAGGAGACUAUUACUCGAAAGCCCUGCAUUGAUGCAGAGGAUGCAAGAACAUGGAAAUCUGUGUUUAAACUAUAAAGGUUGUCGAAGUUUGAACUAUGUUAUUAACUGCUGUUUCUAGACGUUUGUUGUUAAAAGGCCCACAGUAAUUGGUUUUAACUGUUGUGGUGCUUUCACAGCAAUUGUCAUUAGUAUACAGUAGUAUUAUAUAUUUAUAAUGUAAUGUAUGUAUUGUAUCCAUGUUGUUAUUAAUAUUCAGGGUCGAUUUACUGGGGGGGGGUGCACCCCCUAGCCCUGGCCAGAGGGGGUGCACCCCCCUAGCCCUGGCCAGAGGGGGUGCAGGGGGUUCUGCUAUAUUUCAUGAUAAAACAAAAAAUUAUUAGAGACAAAAUGAGAUACAGUAAUUUCAGUAAUAACAUGAUGAUAAGCGAACUGUGAACAAUUACAAUUCAAAUACAGUAGUCAAGCAAGACUUUGCAGUAGCGAAGCAAGUUGAUGGGUGGGCAGCACACAUCACCGACACAACUCGGCACCAGAGCUGGCAGAGCACCCCACCACCAGAUCAUGCUGGAUCCACCCCUAG